AUACUUACCUGGCAAGGGAGAUACCGUGAUCAAGAAGGCGGUUCACCCAGGGCGAGGCUCAACCAUUGCACUCCGGCUGUGCUGACCCCUGCGAAUUUCCCAAAUGUGGAAAUCUCGAUUGCAUAAUUUAUGGGAGUGGGGGACUGCGUUCGCGCUCGCCCCUG
RNAcentral lists this small nuclear RNA (164 nucleotides) under Salmo salar (Atlantic salmon). RNAcentral describes it as "U1 spliceosomal RNA". It matches the Rfam family "U1 spliceosomal RNA". Rfam says of the family: U1 is a small nuclear RNA (snRNA) component of the spliceosome (involved in pre-mRNA splicing). Its 5' end forms complementary base pairs with the 5' splice junction, thus defining the 5' donor site of an intron. There are significant differences in sequence and secondary structure between metazoan and yeast U1 snRNAs, the latter being much longer (568 nucleotides as compared to 164 nucleotides in human). Lineage: Eukaryota; Metazoa; Chordata; Actinopteri; Salmoniformes; Salmonidae. The record is from Rfam by way of RNAcentral.